UACGGAGGGGUCUAGCGUUGUUCGGAAUUACUGGGCGUAAAGCGCGCGUAGGCGGACCUGCAAGUCGGGGGUGAAAGCCCGAGGCUCAACCUCGGAACUGCCUUCGAUACUGCGGGUCUCGAGUCCGGGAGAGGUGAGUGGAAUUCCCAGUGUAGCGGUGAAAUGCGUAGAUAUUGGGAGGAACACCAGUGGCGAAGGCGGCUCACUGGACCGGUACUGACGCUGAGGCGCGAAAGCGUGGGGAGCAAACAGG
RNAcentral lists this ribosomal RNA (253 nucleotides) under uncultured bacterium. Its description in RNAcentral is "partial 16S ribosomal RNA". It matches the Rfam family "Bacterial small subunit ribosomal RNA", at positions 524 to 776 of the family's 1533-position model. The record is from RNAcentral.